RNAcentral lists this ribosomal RNA (690 nucleotides) under uncultured Acidobacteriota bacterium. RNAcentral's name for it is "bacterial SSU rRNA". It matches the Rfam family "Bacterial small subunit ribosomal RNA", at positions 15 to 737 of the family's 1533-position model. The record is from RNAcentral. Lineage: Bacteria; Pseudomonadati; Acidobacteriota.
GAUCCUGGCUCAGAAUCAACGCUGGCGGCGUGCCUAACACAUGCAAGUCGAACGAGAAAGUGGAGCAAUCCAUGAGUAAAGUGGCGCACGGGUGAGUAACACGUGACUAACCUACCCUUGAGUGGGGGAUAACCUCGGGAAACCUUGGCUAAUACCGCAUAACACCUACGGGUCAAAGGAGCAAUUCGCUUAAGGAGGGGGUCGCGGCAGAUUAGUUAGUUGGCAGGGUAAUGGCCUACCAAGACAGUGAUCUGUAUCCGGCCUGAGGGGGCGCACGGACACACUGGAACUGAAACACGGUCCAGACUCCUACGGGAGGCAGCAGUGGGGAAUUUUGCGCAAUGGGGGAAACCCUGACGCAGCAACGCCGCGUGGAGGAUGAAGUCCCUUGGGACGUAAACUCCUUUCGACCGGGACGAUAAUGACGGUACCGGAAGAAGAAGCCCCGGCUAACUUCGUGCCAGCAGCCGCGGUAAUACGAGGGGGGCGAGCGUUGUUCGGAAUUAUUGGGCGUAAAGGGUGCGUAGGCGGUUCGGUAAGUUUCGUGUGAAAUCUUCGGGCUCAACUCGAAGUCUGCACGAGAUACUGCCGGGCUUGAGUGUGGGAGAGGUGAGUGGAAUUUCCGGUGUAGCGGUGAAAUGCGUAGAUAUCGGAAGGAACACCUGUGGCGAAAGCGGCUCACUGGACCAU